This 528-nucleotide ribosomal RNA is filed under the name uncultured bacterium. Its description in RNAcentral is "bacterial SSU rRNA". It matches the Rfam family "Bacterial small subunit ribosomal RNA", at positions 777 to 1304 of the family's 1533-position model. The record is from RNAcentral.
AAUAGAUACCCGGUAGUCCACGCCGUAAACGAUGAGUGCUAAGUGUUAGAGGGUUUCCGCCCUUUAGUGCUGCAGCUAACGCAUUAAGCACUCCGCCUGGGGAGUACGGCCGCAAGGCUGAAACUCAAAGGAAUUGACGGGGGCCCGCACAAGCGGUGGAGCAUGUGGUUUAAUUCGAAGCAACGCGAAGAACCUUACCAGGUCUUGACAUCCUCUGCCAACCCUAGAGAUAGGGCGUUCCCCUUCGGGGGACAGAGUGACAGGUGGUGCAUGGUUGUCGUCAGCUCGUGUCGUGAGAUGUUGGGUUAAGUCCCGCAACGAGCGCAACCCUUGAUCUUAGUUGCCAGCAUUCAGUUGGGCACUCUAAGGUGACUGCCGGUGACAAACCGGAGGAAGGUGGGGAUGACGUCAAAUCAUCAUGCCCCUUAUGACCUGGGCUACACACGUGCUACAAUGGAUGGUACAAAGAGCUGCGAACCCGCGAGGGUAAGCGAAUCUCAUAAAGCCAUUCUCAGUUCGGAUUGUAGG